CGAGCAGUCCAGACAGCGGCGGGUGGAGGCCGAAAGGCCCCAUCUGAGGAAAGUCCGAGCUUCACAGGGCAAGGGUAGCUGCUAACGGCAGCCGGAGGCGACUCCAGGGACAGUGCAACAGAGAGAUACCGCCGGAGAAGGAGCUUUUCCGGCAAGGGUGGAAAGGCGAGGUAAGAGCUCACCAGCGCCCGGGAGACCGGGCGGCUAUGUAAACCCUACCCGAAGCAACACCGCACAGGGGCAGUAA
This 247-nucleotide RNase P RNA is filed under the name Angelakisella sp. RNAcentral's name for it is "partial RNase P RNA component class A". It matches the Rfam family "Bacterial RNase P class A", at positions 1 to 244 of the family's 367-position model. From Rfam's summary of the family: Ribonuclease P (RNase P) is a ubiquitous endoribonuclease, found in archaea, bacteria and eukarya as well as chloroplasts and mitochondria. Its best characterised activity is the generation of mature 5'-ends of tRNAs by cleaving the 5'-leader elements of precursor-tRNAs. Lineage: Bacteria; Bacillati; Bacillota; Clostridia; Eubacteriales; Oscillospiraceae. The record is from RNAcentral.